RNAcentral lists this non-coding RNA (108 nucleotides) under Flavobacterium akiainvivens. RNAcentral's name for it is "SAM-I sequence". It matches the Rfam family "SAM riboswitch aptamer (S box leader)". From Rfam's summary of the family: The SAM riboswitch is found upstream of a number of genes which code for proteins involved in methionine or cysteine biosynthesis in Gram-positive bacteria. The SAM riboswitch acts at the level of transcription termination control. The predicted structure consists of a complex stem-loop region followed by a single stem loop terminator region. The record is from Rfam by way of RNAcentral. Lineage: Bacteria; Pseudomonadati; Bacteroidota; Flavobacteriia; Flavobacteriales; Flavobacteriaceae.
UUCUUAUCCAGAAAGACCGAGGGAAUUGACCCAAUGACGUCUUGGCAACCUGUCACUACCGUGUGAUAAGGUGCCACAUUCAACCCAUUAGCUUGGGAAAGAUAAGUU